CCUGUCAACUUUCGAUGGUAUUUUCUACGCCUACCAUGGUGACCAUGGGUAACGGGAAAUCAGGGUUUGAUUCCG
This is a non-coding RNA of Pelobates cultripes (western spadefoot toad), 75 nucleotides long. Lineage: Eukaryota; Metazoa; Chordata; Amphibia; Anura; Pelobatidae. The record is from the annotation of a GenBank genome assembly.